This 70-nucleotide transfer RNA is filed under the name Hylobates lar (common gibbon). RNAcentral's name for it is "tRNA-Phe". The record is from RNAcentral. Lineage: Eukaryota; Metazoa; Chordata; Mammalia; Primates; Hylobatidae.
CGUUUAUGUAGCUUAACUACCCAAAGCAAAACACUGAAAAUGUCGAGACGGCUCACCCGCCCCAUAAACA